CCUACGGGUGGCAGCAGUAGGGAAUCUUCCACAAUGGGCGAAAGCCUGAUGCAGCAACGCCGCGUGGGUGAAGAAGGUCUUCGGAUCGUAAAACCCUGUCGUCAGAGAAGAAAGUGCGGGAGAGUAACUGUUCACGCUUCGACGGUAUCUAACCAGAAAGCCACGGCUAACUACGUGCCAGCAGCCGCGGUAAUACGUAGGUGGCAAGCGUUAUCCGGAUUUAUUGGGCGUAAAGGGAACGCAGGCGGUCUUUUAAGUCUGAUGUGAAAGCCUUCGGCUUAACCGGAGUAGUGCAUUGGAAACUGGGAGACUUGAGUGCAGAAGAGGAGGGUGGAACUCCAUGUGUAGCGGUGAAAUGCGUAGAUAUAUGGAGGAACACCAGUGGCGAAGGCGGCUCUCUGGUCUGUAACUGACGCUGAGGUUCGAAAGCGUGGGUAGCAAACAGGAUUAGAUACCCCAGUAGUC
This 465-nucleotide ribosomal RNA is filed under the name uncultured bacterium. RNAcentral's name for it is "partial 16S ribosomal RNA". It matches the Rfam family "Bacterial small subunit ribosomal RNA", at positions 338 to 795 of the family's 1533-position model. The record is from RNAcentral.